Molecule: non-coding RNA, 71 nt
Organism: Candidatus Harrisonbacteria bacterium
Lineage: Bacteria; Candidatus Harrisoniibacteriota
Source: Rfam
UCCGGGAUCGUCUAACGGUAGGACGUCUCCCUUUGAAGGAGAAAAUUGGGGUUCGAUCCCCUGUCCCGGAA